This is an RNA transcript of Gadus morhua (Atlantic cod), 5990 nucleotides long. It is a transcript of the gene named mitogen-activated protein kinase kinase kinase kinase 4, with no coding region annotated. The record is from RefSeq and is a predicted model, not a curated record. NCBI's taxonomy places the organism in Eukaryota, Metazoa, Chordata, Actinopteri, Gadiformes, Gadidae. The transcript has 32 exons.
UGUGCAGCUCUCUGGUCUGGGGAGCGAGAUGCGCACGCACCCACGAUCGGCAGCGCGAGAGAAAGAGAGAGCGAGCGAGAGCGAGAGAGGGAGUUGUGCACCAAGGCCGUCCUGCCACCUCAACAUGGAGUAGACCAUAGACCCUAGCACCGUUUUUCGCGACCAAAAAGGAAAGGAAUACCCGCCACGGCUCCGAGGUUGUGUGUCCACUCUUAAUGCCCGGCCCCGCGGUACGGUAGCAGCGAAGUCUUGCUCGGAUCGCGAAGGAGGGAUCGGCAUUUAUCGGAAAGAUGGCGAACGACUCUCCGGCUAAAAGUCUGGUAGACAUAGACCUGGCUUCAUUGCGGGAUCCAGCUGGGAUAUUUGAAUUGGUGGAGGUGGUUGGGAAUGGCACCUAUGGACAAGUAUACAAGGGACGGCAUGUCAAAACAGGACAGCUGGCGGCCAUCAAGGUCAUGGAUGUCACUGAGGACGAGGAGGAAGAGAUCAAGUUGGAGAUCAACAUGCUGAAGAAGUACUCUCACCACAGGAACAUCGCCACCUACUAUGGGGCCUUCAUCAAGAAGAGCCCCCCAGGACACGAUGACCAGCUCUGGCUGGUCAUGGAGUUCUGCGGGGCGGGCUCCAUCACCGACCUGGUGAAGAACACUAAGGGGAACCAGUUGAAGGAGGACUGGAUCGCCUACAUCUCCCGGGAGAUCCUCAGAGGUCUCGCCCACCUCCACGCCCACCACGUCAUCCAUCGAGACAUCAAGGGCCAGAACGUUCUGCUGACGGAGAACGCCGAAGUCAAGCUGGUGGACUUCGGCGUGAGCGCCCAGCUGGACCGCACGGUGGGCCGCCGGAACACCUUCAUCGGCACGCCGUACUGGAUGGCGCCCGAGGUCAUCGCCUGCGACGAGAACCCCGACGCCACGUACGACUACAGGAGCGACCUCUGGUCGACCGGCAUCACGGCCUUGGAGAUGGCCGAAGGAGCUCCACCGCUCUGCGACAUGCACCCGAUGCGUGCGCUCUUCCUCAUCCCAAGGAACCCUCCCCCUCGACUGAAAUCUAAAAAAUGGUCCAAGAAGUUCAUCAGCUUCAUCGAGGCGUGCCUGGUGAAGAACUACACCCAGAGGCCGCCCACGGAGCAGCUGCUGAAGCACCCCUACAUCCGGGACCAGCCCAACGAGAGACAGGUCCGCAUCCAGCUCAAGGACCACAUCGACCGCACCAAGAAGAAACGCGGCGAGAGGGACGAGACGGAGUACGAGUACAGCGGCAGCGAGGAGGAAGAGGAGGAGCCCGCGGAGCAGGACGGGGAACCAAGCUCCAUCGUCAACGUGCCGGGUGAGUCCACGCUGCGCCGGGACUUCAUCCGGCUGCAGCAGGAGAACAAGGAGCGCUCCGAGGCGCUGCGGCGGCAGCAGCUGCUGCAGGAGCAGCAGAUGAGGGAGCAGGAGGAGUACAAGAGGCAGCUGCUGGCCGAGCGGCAGAAGCGCAUCGAGCAGCAGAAGGAGCAGAGGCGGCGGCUGGAGGAGCAACAGCGCCGCGAGCGCGAGGUGCGGCGGCAGCAGGAGCGCGAGCAGCGCCGCCGCGAGCAGGAGGAGAAGCGCCGCGUGGAGGAGACGGACCGCCGCCGCAAGGAGGAGGAGGAGCGCCGGCGGGCCGAGGACGAGAAGAGGAGGAACGACCGGGAGCAGGAGUACAUCCGCCGGCAGUUGGAGGAGGAGCAGAGGCACCUGGAGAUGCUGCAGCAACAGCUGCUCCACGAGCAGGCCAUGCUGUUGGCGGACGAGCGCUACCGCAAGAACAUCCAGGGCUCCCCGCAGACAGCCCCGCCCCCCAAGCAGCCCCCCCUGCCCCCCCGCUCCUCCGAACCCUUCUCCAACGGGGCGGGGCCGGCCGAGGCCUCCGCCAUGCACCGGCCCAUGGAGCCACAGGUCCAGUGGUCCCACCUGGCCGCUCUCAAGAGCAGCACCAGCGCCGCCGCCUCCGCCCCCUCUCCUCCUCCUCCACCUCCCCCCCCCGCCGCCCCCCCCAUCGGGGCCCCCCCGCCCGCGGUCGCGCGCUCGCAGUCGUUCAGCGAGCCUGGCGGCGGCGGCGGCGGCGGCGUUGCCCCGGGCUACGCCCAGCUGCACCUGCGCUCCGCCCAGGACCCCCCCCAACACCAACACCACCACCACCACCAUCAUCACCCAUCGCCCGCACGACCCGACCCCCAGCCCCAACCUCCCCAACACCACCACCCCCAGGCCCCCAGCGACGAGGUGCCUCCCAGGGUCCCGGUGAGGACAACGUCCAGGUCUCCUGUGCUGUCCCGCCGCGAGUCGCCCUUGCCGACGCAGCCUAGCAACCAGGUCGCCCAGAGGAACGUCGGCAGCAGCGCGGAGCCCCGUCCGCUGUGGGACCGCGUGGAGAAGCUGCAGCCCCGGCCGGGCAGCGGCAGCUCCUCGGGCUCGUCCAACUCCAGCUCCCAGGCUGGCUCCGGGGACCGCUUCAGGCCUCGCUGUGAGUCCCCCGCCUCUUCCAAAUCCGAAGGGUCGCCCCUCCAACGACCGGACAACGCUGCCAAAAAGACAGAAGACAAGAACCUGGCCAGGCCAAGCCGGCCAGCCGACCUGACGGCCCUGGCCAAGGAGCUGCGUGCCGUGGACGACGUGCGGCCCCCGCACAAGGUCACGGACUACUCCUCCUCCAGCGACGACUCGGGCACCACCGACGAGGAGGAGGACGAGGAGGUGGACCAGGAGGCGGGCGAGGAGUCCACGUCCGGGGCCGAGGACUCCAGGGCUGGAUAUUCCCAUGGCUUCUACAGGAGGCUGAGCAACGGCGAGACGGAGUCCCUGAAGACCAUGCUGGCCGAGGACUCGGAGAGCGACCAGGCCACAACGCCCUCCAAAGACGGCACCCUGGUCAUCAGACAGAGCGCCAGUGAGCUAAAGAGUGCGGCGGCGGCUCUGGUCGCCGCCGCUGGCACUGGCCCGCCGGAGAAAAACGGCUUGCACCACCUCCCGCACCAGCUCCCGCACCACCUCCACCUCCUCCACCAGCACCAGCAGCAGCAACAGCAGCAGCACCUGCCCGACCUUAUCCAGCAGAGCCACCCCUCCCCUUCCUUGGCCGCCUCCUCCGCCUCCUCCACCACCUCAUCCUCCGCCUCCUCCACCCCCAUGCCCUCCUCCUCCUCCUCCACCUCCACCACCUCCUCCUCCUCCUCCUUCCCCCCGGCGUCCAGCCACAACGGCUCCCAGGCCUUGCGGCCGCAGAACCUCCUGGAUCAGCUCAAUGCCGAGGAGACCCAGUCGGCCAGCAGCACCAUGACCAAACACAAGUCUUCGUCCUCCUUCACACCCUUCAUCGACCCCCGCCUCCUCCAGGUCUCGCCCUCCAGCGGCAGCUCCCUCAACAACAUGGGUGAGUUGUUAGCGAGCUUCGGCCAGGACGUGCGGCUGCCCGAGGCGCUGCGGGCCGACCCGUCCCGUAAGGGCUCGGUGGUGAACGUCAACCCGGUCAACACACGCCCGCACAGCGACACGCCCGAGAUCCGCAAGUACAAGAAGAGGUUCAACUCGGAGAUCCUGUGCGCCGCGCUCUGGGGUGUGAACCUGCUGGUGGGUACCGAGAGCGGGCUGAUGCUGUUGGACCGCAGCGGCCAGGGGAAGGUCUACCCGCUCAUCAACCGCCGGCGCAUCCAGCAGAUGGACGUCCUCGAGGGCCUCAACGUACUGGUCACCAUCUCGGGCAAGAAGAACAAGCUGCGUGUCUACUACCUGUCGUGGCUGAGGAACAAGAUUUUGCACAACGACCCCGAGGUGGAGAAGAAGCAGGGCUGGGUUACCGUGGGCGACCUGGAGGGAUGCGUCCACUACAAAGUCGUGAAAUAUGAGAGGAUUAAGUUCUUGGUGCUGGCUUUGAAGAACGCUGUGGAGGUAUACGCCUGGGCGCCCAAACCCUACCACAAAUUCAUGGCCUUCAAGUCUUUCGGUGACCUGGUGCACAAACCUCUGUUGGUGGACCUGACGGUGGAGGAGGGUCAGAGGUUAAAGGUCAUCUACGGCUCGUACUCGGGCUUCCACGCCGUGGACGUCGACUCCGGCGCCGUCUACGACAUCUACCUUCCCACGCACAUCCAGACCAGCAUCCAGUCCCACGCCAUCAUCAUCCUGCCCAACACGGACGGCAUCGAGCUGCUGGUGUGCUACGAGGACGAGGGCGUCUACGUCAACACCUACGGCCGCAUCACUAAGGACGUGGUGCUGCAGUGGGGCGAGAUGCCCACCUCCGUGGCCUACAUUAGGUCCAACCAGAUUAUGGGCUGGGGGGAGAAGGCCAUCGAGAUCCGCUCGGUGGAGACGGGGCACCUGGACGGGGUCUUCAUGCACAAGAGGGCCCAGCGGCUCAAGUUCCUCUGUGAGAGGAAUGACAAGGUGUUCUUCGCCUCGGUGCGCUCCGGCGGCGCCAGCCAGGUGUACUUCAUGACCCUGGGACGCACCUCUCUGAUGAGCUGGUAGUCAUGACGACCGCAUCCCCCGAAGAAGAAGAAGAAAAAAAAAACGGGAAAAAAAAGGAAAACCAAACCUGCCGGCCAGGCAGGGGUGGGCGCGACAAAACCACACACUUAAAAAACACAUGCACGAACGUACGCACGCACGCAAAAAUACGAAAAAGCGGCCGACGGACUUUGACGAUACUUCCCGAAGACGACAAACGACCCUGUGCUGAUGUAUAGACUGAACUGUAUUGGACAUUUCUGUUUCGUUAGAGGAGGAGGAGGAGGAGGAGGCGGCGGCGGCGGUUGGGGGGGAAGGAUUUCCAACUGGCAGACGGAAGAGUCUAUGUGUGUUUGCGGGAAGGGGGGACUGGGGUGUAAUCGUACCCUACAGCAUGGAACAGGCCCCUCCUUGUGGCGCACACCCCCCCCCCCCCCCCCCUAGCCCUUCCGCUUCCCCUUGUCUCUUUCGGCGGCCAUCUUUGAGGUGGUGUAGCAUGGAUGGUAAACAUAUACGUGUCAUAGUAAUGCUUAGUCUUCUGUGUGUGUGUGUGUGUGUGUGUGUGUGUGUGUGUGUGUGUGUGUGUGUGUGUGUGUGUGUGUGUGUGUGUGUGUGUGUGUGUGUGUGUGUGUGUGUGUGUGUGUGUGUGUGUGUGUGUGUGUGUGUGUGUGUGUGUGUGUGUGUGUGUGCGUGGGGCCUGUAGAAGUAAAAUUUAAAAAAGCCCGUACCUGAUACCUUUUUAUAGACAUCUCACCCACAGACUCACCUCUUGUUAUGGGGGGCCUCAUGUUUUUUUAUUUUCUAUGUUUUUGUGAUUUUGGUUCCCGUUCCGGUUCCAGUCGAGGCGGUGCCUUCCCUUCGCUGGAGAGUGUAGGAUCUGCUGCCACCUUGUGGCCAUCUGCAGAAAGGAUACCAAGAUAAAAAAAAAUAAGUCUCGGAGACAAACCACUUGGGGGGAGGGGGAGCAACACGGCAACAAAUAUUUAACUUGGGGACUUAGCUAAUUUUUGUUUAUGCAAUUUUUUUUUUACUAAUUAUUCUAUAACCCACUUCGGAUAUGCGACUGCAGUGGUUUUUACGAUGCAGACACCUUACGUUGGAAAUGUUUACAGGAACAAUUGUUUUGUUAAAACCAAUGUGCAUCGGUGUAUUUAUGGAUUACCUUAUAGGGCAGUUAACACCCCCUUCCUUCCCCCUUCACUUUUUGUACUUUGUAUUAUUCUCUUUUGUAUUAUGGUUUUGAGGUUCGUGUACAGGAAUAAUCGUAGACCUCUUGCUAAGGUUUCAAACCACACAAUCCACGUUCUCGUCCCGGGGUCAGGCGAUGGCAUUCCCGCGAUGGUUUGAAAAGCUGUGCACCAGCCAGUUGCCCGGUGACAUCAUUUGUCUCCCUCAAAUGUCUUUCUUACCUCUCUCUAAUUUAUGUCCUCUAUCUCUUGUGUGCUAUGGGAGUAACUGUAUUUUCCUGAAGGUCUUUUUUUUUUUUUUUCAUUGAAUAAAAUCUUAAGUAAUCUA